CGGGUGAGUAAUGCAUAGGAAUCUGCCCAGUAGUGGGGGGAUAACGUGGAGAAAUCCACGCUAAUACCGCAUAUGUCCUACGGGACAAAGCAGGGGACCUUCGGGCCUUGCGCUAUUGGAUGAGCCUAUGUCGGAUUAGCUAGUUGGUAGGGUAAAAGCCUACCAAGGCAACGAUCCGUAGCUGGUCUGAGAGGAUGAUCAGCCACACUGGGACUGUGACACGGCCCAG
Molecule: ribosomal RNA, 229 nt
Filed under: uncultured bacterium
Lineage: Bacteria
Description: partial 16S ribosomal RNA
Rfam family: Bacterial small subunit ribosomal RNA
Source: RNAcentral